This 466-nucleotide ribosomal RNA is filed under the name uncultured bacterium. RNAcentral's name for it is "partial 16S ribosomal RNA". It matches the Rfam family "Bacterial small subunit ribosomal RNA", at positions 28 to 507 of the family's 1533-position model. The record is from RNAcentral.
GAUGAACGCUGGCGGCGUGCUUAACAUAUGCAAGUCGAACGGAAAGGCCCAAGCUUGCUUGGGUACUCGAGUGGCGAACGGGUGAGUAACACGUGGGUGAUCUGCCCUGCACUUCGGGAUAAGCCUGGGAAACUGGGUCUAAUACCGGAUAGGACCACAUUUUGGAUGGUGUGGUGGAAAGUUUUUCGGUGUGGGAUGAGCUCGCGGCCUAUCAGCUUGUUGGUGGGGUAAUGGCCUACCAAGGCGUCGACGGGUAGCCGGCCUGAGAGGGUGUACGGCCACAUUGGGACUGAGAUACGGCCCAGACUCCUACGGGAGGCAGCAGUGGGGAAUAUUGCACAAUGGGCGCAAGCCUGAUGCAGCGACGCCGCGUGGGGGAUGACGGCCUUCGGGUUGUAAACUCCUUUCGCUAGGGACGAAGCGCUAUGUGACGGUACCUGGAGAAGAAGCACCGGCUAACUACGUG